AGGAGGCCGAGUGAGGAGCCACACACACGCACACGCACACGCACACACAGAUUUAACACUGUUCUCCGGUUUCAGCGCUGGUUCAGGCAGCAGUAGAACCUGCAGUGCACAUUCACCUGUGAAACGAUAAUUAUAGCUCCUCACCUGAGGAGCCUUGUCUCAGAAAGGCCUCAAACAGGUCGACCCAGCAUGACUCCCUGCAGCCACACCUGAUUCCUCAGCAGGGCGAGAUCAGCGGGGCGUCACCUGCACAGACGAGGACACCAGCAUGUAUAAAACCGGAGCUUGUCCAUCCAUAAACACGGUCUGAACACGACAGCAGCCAUGGCAGAUUUUGUAAAAAAUAUGUUGGGAAAUGACGGGAUGAGAGAUAUGGUUGCAUCGGAAACAGGUAAAGUGGUGGAGGGCUUCGUGAAGAAAGCAAUGGGUGGAGAAGGAGGAGACCAGAAGGAAGAGGGGGCAGGUGAUGUUGUAGGCACCUUGAUGAGCGCUGUGACUGGAGGAGGAGACAAGAAGGAAGGGGAGGGAGGUGAUGUGGUAGGCACCUUGAUGAGCGCCGUGACUGGAGGAGGAGACAAGAAGGAAGGGGAGGGAGGGCUGGAUGUGUCGAAAGCUUUGGGAGGACUCUUUUAAGUAGAAACCCAACAGACCAGACUCUCUUUCAGCUUCAUCAAACCCUCAGCUCUUCCCAAACUACUGGAAAACAAUUACCUUCAUUAUUUACACUUGAUUUGUUGCACUUCCAUUUUAAAUGUUGCACCACAUUUGGGGUUGAGAAAAUAAACACAAAAAGCCACAAAAAAGUGAUAAAAACUGAUUAAAUCUGAAUAACACACAUAAACUGAUUUAUAAUCUGAUUUUUAAAAGGGUCACUAUCAGUAUUUUGUGUUAUUUUGCUAUCUUGAAUUAAAUAACUUAAAACAUGAGUGAAAAUGUUCUCCUGUGUUUUAUUUUGCUAAUGGUUUCUUGAAUAUUUUUUGCUCUAUUAUAUUCAGCUUAAACUGAGCCUCUGAUUUGGUGAAUUGAGAGGAAAACAAACUUAUUGUUGGGCUGCACAGUGGCGUGGUGGUUUGCACUCUCACCUUGCAGCUAGAAGAUCCUCGGUUCUGCAUGGAGCUUGCAUGUUCUCCCUGUGCAUGCGUGAGUUUGCUACGGCUACUCCAGCUUCCUUCCACUGUCCAAAAAUAUGCUGAGGUUAAUUUAUUAUUGUAAAUUGCCCGUGAUUGAAUGUGAGUGCAAUUGUUUGUCUGUAUAUGUAGCCCUGCAACCUGUCCAGGGUGUCUCCUGCCUUUGCCCCAAAUCAGCUGGGAUAGACUCCAGUCCCCCCUUAACUUACUGUACUUUCCCAGACGUGUUUGUAGUUUCAAUGAAUGUUUUGUAUGAAUCAACAGAUAAUAAAAACAACCGCCUCCAGUGUGAAACAUGAAUGUUCAUUUAGAUGAAUUAAAUUAAACAUAAUGGCAUGCAGAGAUGAACCUGAAGAGCAAUUAAAGGUA
Amphiprion ocellaris (clown anemonefish) is the source of this 1496-nucleotide long non-coding RNA. The record is from Ensembl. NCBI's taxonomy places the organism in Eukaryota, Metazoa, Chordata, Actinopteri, Pomacentridae.